CCCUUAGAUGUUCUGGGCCGCACGCGCGCUACACUGAUGCAUUCAACGAGUCUAAAACCUGGUCUGAUAGGGCUGGGUAAUCUUUUGAAAGUGCAUCGUGAUUGGGAUAGAUGAUUGCAAUUCUUCAUCUUCAACGAGGAAUGCCUAGUAAACGCAAGUCAUCAGCUUGCAUUGAUUACGUCCCUGCCCUUUGUACACACCGCCCGUCGCUCCUACCGAUUGAAUGCUCAGGUGAGCCAUUCGGACUUUCAUCAUGCUGGUUUCCAGUUUUGAUGAAGGAAAGUCUUGCGAACCUUAUCAUUUAGAGGAAGGAGAAGUCGUAACA
This 325-nucleotide ribosomal RNA is filed under the name uncultured eukaryote. RNAcentral's name for it is "partial 18S ribosomal RNA". It matches the Rfam family "Eukaryotic small subunit ribosomal RNA", at positions 1470 to 1796 of the family's 1831-position model. The record is from RNAcentral.